Small nuclear RNA from Ailuropoda melanoleuca (giant panda), 134 nucleotides. Its record names the gene U4. It matches the Rfam family "U4 spliceosomal RNA". From Rfam's summary of the family: U4 small nuclear RNA (U4 snRNA) is a component of the major U2-dependent spliceosome. The structure of U4 snRNA from yeast and human has been reported. U4 snRNA presents a k-turn RNA motif in the 5p-SL related to recognition of Snu13 protein. Lineage: Eukaryota; Metazoa; Chordata; Mammalia; Carnivora; Ursidae. The record is from Ensembl.
AUCAUUGCACUGUGCCAGUAUCACAGCCAAUGAGGUUUAUUUAAGGUGUGAUUAUUGCUAAUUGAAAACUUUUCCCAGAAUGCAUGGCUGGCUCAGUUGGGGGAAUAUGUGACUCUUGAUCUCCCAGUCUUGGA